RNAcentral lists this ribosomal RNA (864 nucleotides) under Geomyces sp. Its description in RNAcentral is "partial large subunit ribosomal RNA". It matches the Rfam family "Eukaryotic large subunit ribosomal RNA", at positions 76 to 961 of the family's 3401-position model. Lineage: Eukaryota; Fungi; Ascomycota; Leotiomycetes; Thelebolales; Pseudeurotiaceae. The record is from RNAcentral.
UACCUCAGUAACGGCGAGUGAAGCGGUAACAGCUCAAAUUUGAAAUCUGGCCUCACGGUCCGAGUUGUAAUUUGUAGAGGAUGCUUCGAGCAUGGUCUGGCCUAAGUUCCUUGGAACAGGACGUCAUAGAGGGUGAGAAUCCCGUAUGCGGUCAGGUGCCUACGCUCAUGUGAAGCUCCUUCGACGAGUCGAGUUGUUUGGGAAUGCAGCUCAAAAUGGGUGGUAAAUUUCAUCUAAAGCUAAAUAUUGGCCAGAGACCGAUAGCGCACAAGUAGAGUGAUCGAAAGAUGAAAAGCACUUUGGAAAGAGAGUUAAACAGUACGUGAAAUUGUUGAAAGGGAAGCGCUUGCAACCAGACUUGCGCGCGGCCGAUCAUCCGGUGUUCUCACCGGUGCACUCGGCCGUGCUCAGGCCAGCAUCGGUUUUGGCGGCUGGAUAAAGGCCCUAGGAAUGUAGCUCCUCUCGGGGAGUGUUAUAGCCUAGGGUGCAAUGCAGCCUGCUGGGACCGAGGACCGCGCUUCGGCUAGGAUGCUGGCGUAAUGGUUGUAAGCGGCCCGUCUUGAAACACGGACCAAGGAGUCUAACAUCUAUGCGAGUGUUUGGGUGUCAAACCCAUACGCGUAAUGAAAGUGAACGGAGGUGAGAACCCUUAAGGGUGCAUCAUCGACCGAUCCUGAUGUCUUCGGAAGGAUUUGAGUAAGAGCAUAGCUGUUGGGACCCGAAAGAUGGUGAACUAUGCCUGAAUAGGGUGAAGCCAGAGGAAACUCUGGUGGAGGCUCGCAGCGGUUCUGACGUGCAAAUCGAUCGUCAAAUUUGGGUAUAGGGGCGAAAGACUAAUCGAACCAUCUAGUAGCUGGUUCCUGC